RNAcentral lists this transfer RNA (70 nucleotides) under Bos taurus (domestic cattle). It matches the Rfam family "tRNA". Rfam says of the family: Transfer RNA (tRNA) molecules are approximately 80 nucleotides in length. Their secondary structure includes four short double-helical elements and three loops (D, anti-codon, and T loops). RNAcentral also lists the same sequence under 1 other name. Lineage: Eukaryota; Metazoa; Chordata; Mammalia; Artiodactyla; Bovidae. The record is from Rfam by way of RNAcentral.
UUCCAACAGUCCAGCAGUAAAGAAUCUGCUUGCAAUGCAGAAGACCCAGGUUCGAUCCCAGGGUUGGAAA